CUAAAUAAAUAACAUAAUAAAAUAUGUUUGAUGAUUUGGGAAAGUUUUAGCUUAUGACAUUUCCAACUGCACAACUGAAAUUUGAAAAAACAGAAUUGCUUUUGAAAAGAUUCAGUGAAGCGAAAAAGAAAAUCAAUUAGACGUUAUAUUUAAAAAUCGUUAAUUUGAAUUUCAGAGGAUCUACUACACAUUUUGCUGCACUGUUAUAAAAAAAUAUUAUGUUUUUUAUUAAAUUUAAUUUUUUUUAUCUCCUAUUUUAGGUCAUAUGUUCUAUUGAUAAUCCACCUGUGUAUUUGAAUUUAGAGCCGGAAGAAUCGCCACUUAUUUUUGAAGAAGUAUCUUUUAACAUUAGCGAUAAGAGACCAGGAUCUGAAUAUGUACUAAAAAAUUUUGAUUAUAAUUAUUUUGCUAUUGACAAUGAGAAUAACAGAAAGGAGAAAGAAGAUAUAGAAGCGGAAGCUGAUUUUGAUGAUAAAACGGAAGACCGUGUAACGGAUCUCACUUCAGCACCCAGUUCAGUUAACAUGGAAUCUUGGAUAAUGGGUGCAUAUGAAGAAGACAAACGUUGUGGUGAUAAGUCACUUCCGGAACCACCCGAUACAUUAAGGCAAGAAAUUGUAGACGAAGAAAUCAACAUGAUAGAACGCUCUCCAUUAUUUCCUGAAUUAGACCUAGUACCACUAAUUGAAAUAACCGAAUCACAGGAGAGAAUCAUAAAAGACAAUUUAAAAACUAUGGAUGAAUAUCGAAACUAUGGUAAUCUAAAUAGGAAUUUAUCUGCACGUGGUUUACAUCCUCGGAGUACAUUGGAGAAAUCAAUUAGUGAUAGUUCUGAUGAUCAAGUACAAGAUGAAAAAAAUCAACAUUCCAGUACCGGAUGUUGCGGAAGAAUCAUACGCCGCAAAAACAGGAAAUAAUAUUAUAAAGAAGGAAGCACAACAGCUCAGCAUUUAAUUAAGUAUUAUAAUACGAAAUUUUCAUUGCAACAUAUAUCAUAAAUGUUUAUAUUAAGUGUGUGAACGUUGAUCAAGUGAGCUUCAGAACUCAAAUGAGAUUAACAGGGUAGUUGUAUGUUUACAUAUAGUUUCCACAUAAGAAUUGAACAAUAUUUCUAAUAAAGAAAGUUAUGUCCACAA
Aethina tumida (small hive beetle) is the source of this 1136-nucleotide long non-coding RNA. RefSeq lists it as uncharacterized. The record is from RefSeq and is a predicted model, not a curated record. The transcript has 4 exons. Lineage: Eukaryota; Metazoa; Arthropoda; Insecta; Coleoptera; Nitidulidae.